Euleptes europaea (tarantolino) is the source of this 207-nucleotide small nucleolar RNA. RefSeq annotates it as small nucleolar RNA SNORA73 family. NCBI's taxonomy places the organism in Eukaryota, Metazoa, Chordata, Lepidosauria, Squamata, Sphaerodactylidae. The record is from RefSeq and is a predicted model, not a curated record. The transcript has a single exon.
CCAACAGGGACAUCUGGGGAGGUCGCUCUCCCACAGCUCUGUCCGUGUGGCAUGUGGGAGCGUAGGCCUUCGGGCUCCGUGAUGUAGAGUCCCGUUCCACGCUGUUGGAGAGCAAGCCGGGCCCUCGGGUCUGCAGCCUGCAUAUUCCUACUGCUUCUCUGAGUCUUCGGACGGUGACUGAGGAGAUAAACCAUGCAGGAGACAUUG